GAGAGUAUAGCUCAGUGGUGGAGUGUGUGCUUAGCAUGCAUGAGGUCCUGGCUUCAAUUCCCAGUACCUCCG
RNAcentral lists this transfer RNA (72 nucleotides) under Camelus bactrianus (Bactrian camel). It matches the Rfam family "tRNA". From Rfam's summary of the family: Transfer RNA (tRNA) molecules are approximately 80 nucleotides in length. Their secondary structure includes four short double-helical elements and three loops (D, anti-codon, and T loops). Further hydrogen bonds mediate the characteristic L-shaped molecular structure. tRNAs have two regions of fundamental functional importance: the anti-codon, which is responsible for specific mRNA codon recognition, and the 3' end, to which the tRNAs corresponding amino acid is attached (by aminoacyl-tRNA synthetases). tRNAs cope with the degeneracy of the genetic code in two manners: having more than one tRNA (with a specific anti-codon) for a particular amino acid; and 'wobble' base-pairing, i.e. permitting non-standard base-pairing at the 3rd anti-codon position. RNAcentral also lists the same sequence under 2 other names. Lineage: Eukaryota; Metazoa; Chordata; Mammalia; Artiodactyla; Camelidae. The record is from Rfam by way of RNAcentral.